This 478-nucleotide ribosomal RNA is filed under the name uncultured Glomus. RNAcentral describes it as "SSU rRNA". It matches the Rfam family "Eukaryotic small subunit ribosomal RNA", at positions 569 to 1052 of the family's 1831-position model. The record is from RNAcentral. Lineage: Eukaryota; Fungi; Glomeromycota; Glomeromycetes; Glomerales; Glomeraceae.
AGCAGCCGCGGUAAUUCCAGCUCCAAUAGCGUAUAUUAAAGUUGUUGCAGUUAAAAGGCUCGUAGUUGAAUUUCGGGGUUAGCAGGUUGGUCAUGCCUCUGGUAUGUACUGGUCUCACUGAUUCCUCCUUCCUUAUGAACCGUAAUGCCAUUAAUUUGGUGUUGCGGGGAAUUUGGACUGUUACUUUGAAAAAUUAGAGUGUUUAAAGCAAGCUAACGCUUGAAUACAUUAGCAUGGAAUAAUGAAAUAGGACGUUCGAUCUUAUUUUGUUGGUUUCUAGGAUUGACGUAAUGAUUAAUAGGGAUAGUUGGGGGCAUUAGUAUUCAAUUGUCAGAGGUGAAAUUCUUGGAUUUAUUGAAGACUAACUACUGCGAAAGCAUUUGCCAAGGAUGUUUUCAUUAAUCAAGAACGAAAGUUAGGGGAUCGAAGACGAUCAGAUACCGUCGUAGUCUUAACCAUAAACUAUGCCGACUAGGGA